This 253-nucleotide ribosomal RNA is filed under the name uncultured bacterium. RNAcentral's name for it is "partial 16S ribosomal RNA". It matches the Rfam family "Bacterial small subunit ribosomal RNA", at positions 524 to 776 of the family's 1533-position model. The record is from RNAcentral.
UACGUAGGGGGCUAGCGUUGUCCGGAUUUAUUGGGCGUAAAGAGCGUGUAGGCGGCCUGGUAGGUCUGCUGUGAAAACUCGAGGCUCAACCUCGAGAUGUCGGCGGAAACCAUCUGGCUAGAGUCCGGAAGAGGAGAGUGGAAUUCCUGGUGUAGCGGUGAAAUGCGCAGAUAUCGGGAAGAACACCCGUGGCGAAGGCGGUUCUCUGGGACGGUACUGACGCUGAGACGCGAAAGCGUGGGGAGCGAACAGG